Macaca nemestrina (pig-tailed macaque) is the source of this 168-nucleotide unclassified non-coding RNA. NCBI's taxonomy places the organism in Eukaryota, Metazoa, Chordata, Mammalia, Primates, Cercopithecidae. The record is from Ensembl.
UUGAUAGCGGUGGAAUCUGAAGUGCUAUAUUUUUCCACUGAUAAGGUACAACCUAGCCAGAGAUAGUGUGAUUUUUAUCUAUCUCAUCAACAGUAUGUUUUCCCAAACUUUGUUCCAAAGGAAGCAAAGGUUGUGUUUUAAAUUGAAAGUAGUCAGUGCCAAAUGAUU